This 62-nucleotide transfer RNA is filed under the name Astacus astacus (noble crayfish). RNAcentral's name for it is "tRNA-His". The record is from RNAcentral. Lineage: Eukaryota; Metazoa; Arthropoda; Malacostraca; Decapoda; Astacidae.
AUUUAAAUAGUUUAAUAAAAACGUUGGUUUGUGAUACCAGAAUUAUAAUUUUAUUUUAAAUA